GUCAGGAUGGCCGUGCGGUCUAAGACGCUGCGUUCAGGUCGCAGUCCGGUCUUCCGGGCGUGGGUUCGAAUCCCACUUCUGACA
This is a non-coding RNA of Ixodes scapularis (black-legged tick), 84 nucleotides long. The record is from Rfam. Lineage: Eukaryota; Metazoa; Arthropoda; Arachnida; Ixodida; Ixodidae.